Molecule: long non-coding RNA, 3764 nt
Filed under: Homo sapiens (human)
Lineage: Eukaryota; Metazoa; Chordata; Mammalia; Primates; Hominidae
Description: HSALNT0079826
Source: RNAcentral
GGGAUUGCUUUCUUGAUCUCUUUUUGAGAUAGUUCACUAUAGGCAUCUAGAAACACUUCCUAUAUUUGUAUGUUGAUUUCAUAUACUGCAACUUUACUGAAUUGGUUCAUUAGUUCUAAAAGUUUUUUGACAGCACUUGUAGAUUACAUUGUCUGCAAACAGGGACAAUUUGAACUCCUCCUUCACAAUUUGGAUGGCCUUUCUUUCUUUCUUUUGUCCAGUUGCUCUGGCUGGGACUUCCAGUGAUAUGUUAAAUAAAAGUGGUGAAAGUAGGCAUCUUUAUCUUGUUCCACAUCUCAAAGGAAAACUUUCAAUUUUCUCCCAUUCAAUAAGAUGUUAACUGUUACCUAUAGCCUUUAUUGUGUGGAGGUUCUUUCCUUCUAUCCCUAGUUUGUUAAAAGCUUUUAUCAGGAAGGAAUAUUGAAUUUUAUCAAAUGCAUUCUUUGCAUCUAUUGAGAUGAUCAUUUGGUUUUUGUCCUUCAUUUUGUUAAUGUGAUGUAAGGUGUUUAUUGAUUUGCCUGUGUUAAACCAUUCUUGCAUCCGUGAGAUGAAUCCCACUUGAUCAUGGUGAAUGAUCUUUUUUAAUGAUCAAAAGAUCAGUUUACUAGUUUUUUUGCUAGAGUCAAUUUACUAGUAUUUUGUUAAGGAUUUUGCAUCUAUAUUUAUGUAGGAAUAAAUUUAAUUGAUGAAGUGAAAUGUAUUUACAAUAAAAAUUAUAAAACAUUGAUGAAAGAAAUGGAAAAGGACACAGUUAAAUGGGAAGGUAGUCUAUAUUCAUGUAUUGGAAUACAUUGUUAAAAAGAUGAUACUACCCAAUGUCAAAGAUAUUGGUUUAUAGUUUUCUUUUUGUGUUGUUUUCUUGUCUAAUUUUGAUAUCAGGGUAGAUUCUUUACUUAACUCAUUCUUUACUUAACUCAGGGUAGAAGGAGUUUGGAAGAAUUCCCUCCACUUCAAUUUUUUGGAAUUGUUUAAGAAGCCAUGGUAUUAGUUCUUUAAAUGAUUGGUAGAAUUUAGCAGUGAAGCCAUCACUGGGCUUUUCUUUGAUGGGAGGCAUUUUCAUUAUUGAGUCAAUCUCGUUACUUAUUAUUGGUCUGCUCAGGUUUUCUAUUUCUUCAUGAUUCAAUCUUAGCAGGUUGUAUGUGUUCAGGAAUUUGUCUAUUUCUUCUAGGUUUUCCAAUUUGCUGGUGUAUAAUCAUUUGUAAGAGUCUCUAAUGAUUCUUUAUUUUUCUGUGGUAGCAGCUGUAAUAAAUCAAGAGAUUCAAAAGCCCAGGAAAGCAAACAAGAGACCACAAAUUGUAACCAAGUCAAGAAAUUUUAACAAGAUGCAAUAAUCUCAUCACAUAAAUGAGUUUUUGAGACCAAGUUUUAGGAGAGAAAAAUUUAAAUACUCUUAUUCAGUUUAAAAAUAUGAAAAUUUCAAUACAGAAGAGUGACAAAAUAAAAUAUUGCUCUAUUUCUAGCAAUUUGGUCAGGUUAAGUCUGAAUGAUAGCUUUAGUACAGUAUUUUUCUAGAAACAAUUCUCACCCAGCCCCUAUUUUCUCAGAUGAUUACAACUUCUUACAAAUCUCACCACCACCUAAUCCCCAUCUAAUUUACAUAUAGAAAAAAAUGUUAACAUUAUUUUAUUAUAUUGUUCUACUGUUUUAAAAACCUGGGUACCUCUUUAUACUCUUGUGAGGAUCAGCAAUCUGUGAACCAUGUGUGCAAAGGUGUUAUGAGACACUGUUUUAAAUGGUAGAAUGAAGGCUUUCUCUGGACAAUAUUAUGAAGUUCCCAGAGGUUAUAUCUUCAUUCUGUUACUCCUUUUCCCACAGUGUUCAUUUUUUCUCUUCCGGAUUAUUUUUCUAUUGCUCCAAGUGAUUUUGAAGCAGCAAUAAUGAACCCUUAUUUCAGCUCUGCCUUUCUCUUAUCUACUCUGCAGUGGGACUAUGGCACUAUGACCCUCAACAGUCAAGUGGAGUAGGGUAGACUCGCUACAAAAAAUGGUCAUCUGCAGGUUCUUUUUAAUUCCUUGAUUUCCUAGGUUGAACAGUUUAGGGCAUCAGUUUGUGAGGAGGUUAGGGAGAAAAGACAGGGGAGAUGGUGCUUGACUAUUCUACAAGAAGUCCUGAAGAAUAUAAAUCAACCAUUUUUAAGAAAUUUAUUAUUUUUACUCCAAAAGUAAUACAAUAUUCAUCUUAACAAAAGUUGGCAGUGCAAGAUCAUGGGAUUCCUAGAGACAAAGCCAUUGAAGGAUCUCAAGGCUAUAAGGGAUACAGUCAGAUUAGUUUUUUUAAUUCUCUCUAGGUCUAUGAAGAAUUCGAGUCAACAAAGACUGGUGAAUGACUACAUGAUAUUUAAAUAGAAUUUAAAAUACUGGAUUAAUUUAAUGACUAAGGUCAAUUAGAUAUAUUUUCUAAAUAACAAUACUGUCCACAAUAAACCAUUUCUUAUUCUAGCCAACUGAGUCAUUGAGUACAUAGAGAAGAGAAGAAGAAUCUUGAUUCAGGAAAUAUGAGAAAUAUUUAAAAUAAAAAUUUUGGUCUAAUUUCCAAAAAGAAGACUAAAAACAACAAAAAAAAACACCCUUUGAAUGCCUUUCUGAAUGAUCAUCUGAGUGUUGAAAUAGUAAAAAUCAGCUGAAUUCCUAAGUGGUGUAAAAUGCCAGUUUUUAAAAUAAUCAUUCUCUAUGCACACACACACAAAGUAAAUUGCAUUUAUCAUCUAAUAUGCUAAUUUGUUUACAUCUAAUCUCUCUUAUUUUCUGACAUUGCUCUUUCAGAGCUCUCAUUCCUUUUGUAUAGAUUUGGGUUGUGUGUGUGCGUGUGUGUCUGUGUGUGUGUGUGUAUGUACUACUGAUCUUAUUUCUGUUCCAUGUUACUAUGUCCAGAGUUGAUUCCUUCCACUGGGUUCAUGGUCUCGCUGACUUCAAGAAUGGAGCCGCAGACCUUCAGGGCUGGAAAUUUCUGACCUGCUACCAACAUCAUCUCGGUUUCACCACUGUCAACUAUGAGUUAUUCUAUUAAUUGACUAGGCAGAAUCCUAGAAUUACAGCCUUUCAGGAGCAGGAGAGUAUUUAGAGAUCAUCUAUUUCAAGUUUUUCAUUAAAAAGCUGAAACAGUAGGAGAGGUGAAUAAAUUAAAAUGGAAAGUAAUCUGGUUGGCAAAAAAGAGAUUUUAUAAUAAUAACAUAAUACAAUAACCAGAGGAGCAACCAGAAGGGAGGCUUUGGAAAGGACUGAGAAUUCCACCAGAUAUAAUAGUUAUGAUGAGCCAAACAUACUUUGAGUUAGCAUAUGAAUUAUAUCACGUGGCUUCAAGAAUCACCCCUGUCAGGAGAAUUUUCACCUACUGCAUGAAAAGACAAUGUUCCAAGAAGUUUUGUUAGAAUAUUAUCUAGCCAGAACUACCUGGCCAUGGUGAGGCCAGUAGGAAUUUUAUUUAAAAUGUACAUUGCUGGGCCUCAGGCUCUGGAGACGUGCUUGGAAGCUAAGCUUUCAACAAACACUCCAGGAAAUUCUCCUGUACACUAGGGCUUAAGAAGCAGAGGACUGUGAUUUUGAAUUUAUAAACUAUUCAUAAUUUGUCCAGAACCAUGACUUCUGUUUUCUUUUCACUACAUAUUUUGUUUCAUAAUAGUUAGCAGUAAAAUAUAUUAUAUGUGUCUCUUGUUUAUAAGACUGCAUUCUAAAUUCUGCUGUUAUUCCUUAGGGGGGAAAAACUCAUAAAAACAAAACAGAGGAUGAAUAUUUUGAAAAAAGAAAAGAAUCCCCAAUAACCUAGGA